Molecule: long non-coding RNA, 183 nt
Organism: Calidris pygmaea (Spoon-billed sandpiper)
Lineage: Eukaryota; Metazoa; Chordata; Aves; Charadriiformes; Scolopacidae
Source: Ensembl
AAAAGAGCCAUCAAAGGCUAGGAGCUGCUGGCAAGAGGAACAAGUUUUCUGCAUGGGUAGCGAGUGUGGCAGAGCACUACGGGGUUGAUCAACGUCUCCUUGACUUUGCCUGGUGAUGAUUUCAAGUCUUGUUUGCAGCGUCAACUUCCCCCUUACAAAAUGUAAACUGUGAGUAACUACAAA